UCAAGCUAGUAAGGGCAUUCGGUGGAUGCCUUGGCACCAAGAGGCGAUGAAGGACGUGGCAAAACUGCGAUAAGCCACGGGGAGCCGUAAGCAGGCGUUGAUCCGUGGAUCUCCGAAUCGGGAAACCGACACUGAGGAACGUCAGUGUGGCUUCCGGCUGAAUUCAUAGGCCGGAGGUAGCGAACGAGGGGAACUGAAACAUCUCAGUACCCGCAGGAAAAGAAAUCAACCGAGAUUCUCCUAGUAGCGGCGAGCGAACGGGGAGGAGCCCAAACCCGGGCGGCGCACGAGCCCGUUGGCGCUGCCGUUCGGGGGUUGAACGACUCAGUUGGAGGGGGCGACGGACCCCUCGCUUGGGUGCGACACGCAGCCGAACAUCGCUGGAACGGGUGGCCGGAGCGGGUGAGAGCCCCGUAGGCGAAAGGCGAAAGCACCUAUCCGGCACCUGAGUAGGACCAGACACGUGAAAGCUGGUCUGAAUCCACGGGGCCCAUCCCGUAAGGCUAAGUACUCGCUGGCGACCGAUAGUGCACGAGUACCGUGAGGGAAAGGUGAAAAGAACCCCGGAAGGGGAGUGAAAUAGAUCCUGAAACCGCAUGCUUACAAAAAGUCGGAGCCCGCAAGGGUGACGGCGUACCUUUUGUAUAAUGGGUCAGCGACUUACUAGUCUGUAGCAAGCCUAACCGUAUAGGGGAGGCGUAGGGAAACCGAGUCUUAAUAGGGCGACUAGUUGCAUGCCGUAGACCCGAAACCGGGUGACCUAUCCAUGGCCAGGUUGAAGCGAGGGUAAAACUUCGUGGAGGACCGAACCACGUUGCUGUUGAAAAAGCAUGGGAUGAGCUGUGGAUAGCGGAGAAAUUCCAAUCGAACUCGGAGAUAGCUGGUUCUCCCCGAAAUGCAUUUAGGUGCAGCGUUGCGUGUUUCGUGCCGGAGGUAGAGCACUGGAUAGGCGAUGGGCCCCACCGGGUUACUGACCUUAGCCAAACUCCGAAUGCCGGUAAGUGAGAGCAUGGCAGUGAGACUGCGGGGGAUAAGCUCCGUAGUCGAGAGGGAAACAGCCCAGAACAUCAGCUAAGGCCCCUAAGCGUGUGCUAAGUGGGGAAGGAUGUGGAGUUGCACAGACAACCAGGAGGUUGGCUUGGAGGCAGCCAUCCUUGAAAGAGUGCGUAAUAGCUCACUGAUCAAGCGCUCCUGCGCCGAGAAUGAACGGGAUUAAGCGGUCUGCCGAAGCUGUGGGAUGUCGAAUGAUACAUCGGUAGGGGAGCGUUCCGCCUCAAAAGGAAGCACCAACGCAAGCAGGUGUGGAAGAAGCGGAAGCGAGAAUGUCGGCUUGAGUAACGCAAACAUUGGUGAGAAUCCAAUGCCCCGAAAACCCAAGGGUUCCUCCGCAAGGCUCGUCCACGGAGGGUGAGUCGGGACCUAAGAUCAGGCCGAGAGGCGUAGUCGAUGGAAAGCAGGUUAAAAUUCCUGCACUUGCUUAUGCUGCGAUGGGGUGACGGAGAAGGUUAGGGUGGCUGCCUGUUGGAUGGUAGUUUAAGCCCGUAGGAAGAUCUCUUAGGCAAAUCCGGGAGGUCAAUUCUGAAAGGUGAUGACGAGUCGCUUCGGCGACGAAGUACCUGAUACCCCGCUUCCAAGAAAAACCUCUAAGCUUCAGGUUAAAGCAACUCGUACCGUAAACCGACACAGGUAGUUGGGAAGAGAAUUCUAAGGUGAGCGAGCGAACUCUCGUUAAGGAACUCGGCAAAAUGGCCCCGUAACUUCGGGAGAAGGGGUACCGCGGUAGCGUGAAGCCCCAUGCGGGUGGAGCGCGAGGCGGGCGCAGAGAACAGGCCCAUGCGACUGUUUACCAAAAACACAGGUCUCUGCCAACCCGCAAGGGGACGUAUAGGGGCUGACACCUGCCCAGUGCCGGAAGGUUAAGAGGAGCGGUCAGGCGCAAGCCGAAGCUGCGAAUUGAAGCCCCGGUGAACGGCGGCCGUAACUAUAACGGUCCUAAGGUAGCGAAAUUCCUUGUCGGGUAAGUUCCGACCCGCACGAAUGGCCUCAUGAGUGGAGCACUGUCUCAACGAAGGACCCGGCGAAAUUGAAGUACGUGUGAAGAUGCGCGUUACCCGCACUAGGACAAAAAGAC
RNAcentral lists this ribosomal RNA (2131 nucleotides) under Selaginella bryopteris. RNAcentral describes it as "bacterial LSU rRNA". It matches the Rfam family "Bacterial large subunit ribosomal RNA", at positions 3 to 2089 of the family's 2925-position model. The record is from RNAcentral. Lineage: Eukaryota; Viridiplantae; Streptophyta; Lycopodiopsida; Selaginellales; Selaginellaceae.